This 279-nucleotide ribosomal RNA is filed under the name uncultured bacterium. RNAcentral's name for it is "partial 16S ribosomal RNA". It matches the Rfam family "Bacterial small subunit ribosomal RNA", at positions 506 to 784 of the family's 1533-position model. The record is from RNAcentral.
UGCCAGCCGCCGCGGUAAUGCGGAGGGGGCGAGCGUUAUUCGGAAUUACCGGGCGUAAAGGGUACGUAGGCGGACAGCUAAGUCGGAUGUGAAAGCCCCGGGCUCAACCUGGGAACUGCAUACGAUACUGGCUGACUAGAAUCUGUCAGAGGUUGGUGGAAUUUCCGGUGUAGCGGUGAAAUGCGUAGAGAUCGGAAGGAACACCAGUGGCGAAGGCGACCAACUGGGAUAAGAUUGACGCUGAAGUACGAAAGCGUGGGGAGCAAACAGGAUUAGAUA